UACGUAGGGAGCAAGCGUUGUCCGGAAUUACUGGGUGUAAGGGGAGCGUAGGCGGGAUGGCAAGUUGGGUGUUAAAUCUACCGGCUCAACUGGUAGUCGCACUCAAAACUGCUAUUCUUGAGUGAAGUAGAGGCAGGCGGAAUUCCUAGUGUAGCGGUGAAAUGCGUAGAUAUUAGGAGGAACGCCAGUGGCGAAGGCGGCCUGCUGGGCUUUUACUGACGCUGAGGCUCGAAAGCGUGGGGAGCGAACAGG
RNAcentral lists this ribosomal RNA (252 nucleotides) under uncultured bacterium. Its description in RNAcentral is "partial 16S ribosomal RNA". It matches the Rfam family "Bacterial small subunit ribosomal RNA", at positions 524 to 776 of the family's 1533-position model. The record is from RNAcentral.